CUCGCGCCUGUCAUAACACAGACUGUUUUUUUUGCGAACUUUACGGGACUGAGGGGAACUGAAUAACGGCGGCUUUUCAAACACACCUGGCACCGACCGAGCAGGACAACAGCACAACGCAAAGAGCCCAUCGUGAGUGCACGUGAACCUGUCCGAUUAUGGAGAGCUCUUGCUGGCGGCAACUUCUCGCGCUUCACGUCCUGCUAUGGUGCCUCUCGAGCUACAACCUGCGCACAGAGGCCCUCCCAGUUCUACUAACAGACUGUGAGAUAAGUGAAUCUGAAAGAGAGAAUCCGUCUGCUCUGCAUGCCUCUCUGUGUGACCUCCUCUGGAAGAACCAGCAUAUGGAGCACAGCCAGAAUAUGUUCAAACGGUUUCUGUUCCACUACUCUAAAUCCCAGAAUGCCAUUGGCUCCAUGCAGAGGGAUUCCAACUCUGUUCACCCACUGAUGCGUCUCUCCCCAAACCUCUCUGCACGGAGGAAGAAACAACUCCUGCUCGUGAGGCCUCUAAAGAAGCUCUGCUGAAACGGAAGACAAGAGCCUCAGAGACUGCUGCUUCAUCUCCCUCAUGACCAGACCAUAACAACAAGCCCUCUCCCUCUCCCUCUAUCUCUCUCUCUCUCUCUCUCUCCCUCUCUCUCUCUCUCCCUCUCUCUCCCUCUCUCCCCCCUCUCUCCUUCUCUCUCUCCUCCUCCCCCUCUCAUCUUUCUCCUUCUCUCUGCUCUGUCAUUCUCUCCUGUAGAAGUCCCUAGGUCCUCUCAGGGCUUAGGAGUUCCACCAUCUUCAGCACAGGAGAGGAGAAGAGGAGAGAGAGAGGAGGAGAAGAGGAGAGAGAGAGGAGAGGAGAGAGAGGAGAAGAGGAGAGAGAGGAGGAGAGGAGGGUGUGUACAUACUCUCUUCAUUGACGGAGCACCAACUGCUGAACAUGGCCGCACAUUGUCCUGAUGACGUGAUCCUGCUGAACACUCCCGCCCAAGCGUCUUGUGAUCUGACCCUCCUGAACGCACCCUUAGGGGCUACACCAGACACAGCUAUCUGAUUCCCACCACAUC
Molecule: long non-coding RNA, 1054 nt
Organism: Clupea harengus (Atlantic herring)
Lineage: Eukaryota; Metazoa; Chordata; Actinopteri; Clupeiformes; Clupeidae
Source: Ensembl